Molecule: ribosomal RNA, 3366 nt
Filed under: Endozoicomonas ascidiicola
Lineage: Bacteria; Pseudomonadati; Pseudomonadota; Gammaproteobacteria; Oceanospirillales; Endozoicomonadaceae
Description: bacterial LSU rRNA
Source: RNAcentral
UCAAGUGACUAAGCGUACACGGUGGAUGCCUUGGCAGUCAGAGGCGAUGAAGGACGUGGUAAUCUGCGAUAAGCUUUGGGGAGCCGAUAAACAGGCCUUGAUCCAGAGAUUUCCGAAUGGGGAAACCCAACCGCAUAAGCGGUUAUUCUUUAGCUGAAUACAUAGGCUUUAGAAGGCGAACCCGGGGAACUGAAACAUCUAAGUACCCGGAGGAAAAGAAAUUAAUUGAGAUUCCCCUAGUAGCGGCGAGCGAACGGGGAUUAGCCCUUAAGCAAUUUGGGUGUUAGCGGAAGGCUCUGGAAAGUGCCGCCAUAGUGGGUGAUAGCCCCGUACGCGAAAAUGCCCUUAUUGUGAAAUCGAGUAGGUCGGGACACGAGAAAUCCUGACUGAACUGUCUUCGGACGAGGGGGGACCAUCCUCCAAGGCUAAAUACUCCUGACUGACCGAUAGUGAACCAGUACCGUGAGGGAAAGGCGAAAAGAACCCCGUUGAGGGGAGUGAAAUAGAACCUGAAUCCGUGUACGUACAAGCAGUGGGAGCAGACUUUGUUCUGUGACUGCGUACCUUUUGUAUAAUGGGUCAGCGACUUAAUUUCAGUGGCAAGGUUAACCGUAUAGGGGAGCCGUAGGGAAACCGAGUCUUAAUAGGGCGCCGUUCUUAGGAACAAAGAGUCGCUGGGAUUAGACCCGAAACCGGGCGAUCUAUCCAUGGGCAGGUUGAAGAUUGAGUAACAUCAAUUGGAGGACCGAACCGACUAUCGUUGAAAAGCUAGCGGAUGACUUGUGGAUAGGAGUGAAAGGCUAAUCAAGCCCGGAGAUAGCUGGUUCUCCUCGAAAGCUAUUUAGGUAGCGCCUCGUGUAUCACCAUUGGGGGUAGAGCACUGUUUGGGCUAGGGGGUCAUCCCGACUUACCAACCCCAUGCAAACUCCGAAUACCAAUGAGUGCAAUCACGGGAGACACACGGCGGGUGCUAACGUCCGUCGUGGAAAGGGAAACAACCCAGACCGUCAGCUAAGGUCCCAAAGUUCUAGUUAAGUGGGAAACGAUGUGAGAAGGCCCAGACAGCCAGGAGGUUGGCUUAGAAGCAGCCACCCUUUAAAGAAAGCGUAAUAGCUCACUGGUCGAGUCGGCUCGCGCGGAAGAUUUAACGGGGCUCAAACUAGACACCGAAGCUACGGGUUUCAGUGGUCAGUUUUCAGUUGUUAGUUAGCAGUUUUGAGAGGCGAAACAUGCAGGGUUUUGAACAGUUAGAGGUAUUCCAACGUGCUUAUAAGCUUUCAUUGAAAGUUCAUAAGUUGAGUUUGGAAUUUCCAAAGAUUGAACAAAUGCAUGGACUUGCUGAUCAAAUGCGCAGAUGCAGUAAAGGUAUCUGUGCAAAUAUUGCUGAAGGACAUGGAAAACUGAUUAUCUCAAAAGCAGAAUUUCGAAGGUUCUUAUUAAUGGCCAUCGGAUCUUCUGAUGAAAUGAGAGUUUGGUUAAGGUAUUGCCUUGAUCUCAAUUAUCUUGAGAAACAAGAAUGGGAAUAUUUAAAAACUGAAUACAGUCAGGUAAGUAAAAUGUUGGUUGGUUUGCACAAGAGUUUCCAAUAACUCUGAGCAAAACUGACAACCAACAACUGAAAACUGACCACUGAAGCGGUAGAGGAGCGUUCUGUAAGCCGUUGAAGGUGUAUCGGGAGGUAUGCUGGAGGUAUCAGAAGUGCGAAUGCUGACAUGAGUAACGACAAGGGGAGUGAGAAGCUCCCCCGCCGGAAGACCAAGGGUUCCUGCGCAACGUUAAUCGGCGCAGGGUGAGUCGGCCCCUAAGGUGAGGUCGAAAGACGUAAUCGAUGGGAAACAGGUCAAUAUUCCUGUACCCCUUUUGACUGCGACGGAGUGACGGAGAAGGCUAGGUCAGCGCGGCGUUGGUUGUCCGCGUUUAAGAUCGUAGGCUGGGGACCCAGGCAAAUCCGGGUCCUCAAGGCCGAGAAUUGAUGACGAGGUUCUACGGAACCGAAGUGAUUGAUGCCAUGCUUCCAGGAAAAACUUCUAAGCUUCAGGUCAAAAGGGACCGUACCCCAAACCGACACAGGUGGUCAGGUAGAGAAUACCAAGGCGCUUGAGAGAACUCGGGUGAAGGAACUAGGCAAAAUGGCACCGUAACUUCGGGAGAAGGUGCGCCGGCUUUGGUGAUCGGACUUGCUCCGUAAGCUGAGGCUGGUCGAAGAUACCAGGUGGCUGCGACUGUUUAUUAAAAACACAGCACUGUGCAAACACGAAAGUGGACGUAUACGGUGUGACGCCUGCCCGGUGCUCGAAGGUUAAUUGAUGGGGUUAUCCCUCUUUUAGGAGAGUGGAGAAGCUCUUGAUCGAAGCCCGAGUAAACGGCGGCCGUAACUAUAACGGUCCUAAGGUAGCGAAAUUCCUUGUCGGGUAAGUUCCGACCUGCACGAAUGGCGUAACGAUGGCCACGCUGUCUCCACCCGAGACUCAGUGAAAUUGAAAUCGCUGUUAAGAUGCAGCGUAUCCGCGGCUAGACGGAAAGACCCCGUGAACCUUUACUAUAGCUUCACAGUGGAUUUUGAUGUUGCUUGUGUAGGAUAGGUGGGAGGCUUUGAAGCGAGGACGCUAGUUCUUGUGGAGCCAAUCUUGAAAUACCACCCUGGCAAUAUUGRRGUUCUAACCCAGGUCCUGAAACGGGAUCGGGGACAUUGUGUGGUGGGUAGUUUGACUGGGGCGGUCUCCUCCCAAAGAGUAACGGAGGAGCACGAAGGUUGGCUAAGUACGGUCGGACAUCGUACGGUUAGUGUAAUGGCACAAGCCAGCUUGACUGCGAGAGGUACAUCUCGAGCAGGUACGAAAGUAGGUCAUAGUGAUCCGGUGGUUCUGAAUGGAAGGGCCAUCGCUCAACGGAUAAAAGGUACUCCGGGGAUAACAGGCUGAUACCGCCCAAGAGUUCACAUCGACGGCGGUGUUUGGCACCUCGAUGUCGGCUCAUCACAUCCUGGGGCUGAAGCCGGUCCCAAGGGUAUGGCUGUUCGCCAUUUAAAGUGGUACGCGAGCUGGGUUUAGAACGUCGUGAGACAGUUCGGUCCCUAUCUGCCGUGGACGUUGGAAGUUUGAGAAGAGCUGCUCCUAGUACGAGAGGACCGGAGUGGACGGACCACUGGUGUUCGGGUUGUGUCGCCAGACGCAUUGCCCGGUAGCUAUGUUCGGAMGGGAUAACCGCUGAAAGCAUCUAAGCGGGAAGCCCCCUUCAAGAUGAGACUUCCCUGGGCACUAGAUGCCCCUGAAGAGCCGUUAAAGACUAUGACGUUGAUAGGUUGGGUGUGUAAGUGCUGUGAGGCAUUGAGCUAACCAAUACUAAUGACUCGUGCGGCUUGACCAU